Long non-coding RNA from Nymphalis io (European peacock), 1616 nucleotides. RefSeq lists it as uncharacterized. Lineage: Eukaryota; Metazoa; Arthropoda; Insecta; Lepidoptera; Nymphalidae. The transcript has 2 exons. The record is from RefSeq and is a predicted model, not a curated record.
AGACGUGAUCGAGUAUGAUUUCGUAAAAUCCAGAAGAGGCAAGGAUUUGAUUCUGCUAAAUGGAUACACAUUCUCCCGAAAAACCCACAGUCGAUGGAUUUGUACAAAAUACCCAAAAUGCAAAGCGAAGAUCAGCCGACGACCUGAUGGAAUCUUAUCGAACAUAUCCGGAGUACACAAUCACUUCCAAGAAAAAUUUAUACAAAUGCAGAAUGGAGAAAUACGUCGCGUUUAAGAACAUUGCAAUACGAUGUUGUGAAAUCUCAGAGAGGAAGAGAUCUCCUACUAGUGGAAGGUUUUACGUAUGCUAGAAGUGGGCUUUAUCGUUGGAUAUGUUCUACCCACCAUCCGUCCUGUAAAGCGAAGCUUAAAUUAAAUAAGGAAGGCCGCAUCGAACUUUAUUUUAAUAACCACAAUCAUCAACCUAAAAAAAUAUUUCGUACACAAACCGGCCAGUGUUACAGGUUUUAAAAGAGAACAUCAAUUUUUAAAAGAUUGAAAUGAUUUUACUGAAUUUGAAAACAAAAUCUAAUCGCAUGAUUUUGUUUAAUAAUUUUACGGGUGUCAAGAAAAUUGUUGUUGAGACUCAUAAGAUUAAUGUUUUUGGCCUGUGUACGGUGUACUUUAUAUCAAUCGAUGAGUUUAUGAAAAUGUUCACAACUGGACACCUCAAAUCUGACGAAGAUUUAUCAUCUGAUUCUUGGUUCUCCUAAAGAUAUAAUCGAGUUGAAAGUCUGAAGUUGCUGAUUUGUGUUCUUAAGUAGCCAUAUUCAAUGUUACUAACAUUAUUUUGGUAAUUUUUUUACAUAGUGCUUUGUGCCUUCUGCGACUCUCUGAUUAUAUUAAAUCAAUAUAUCUUAUGUUAUAAAAAAAUAUGAAUAUAUUAAGUUUUAAAUAUAUAUAGUAUACGUAUAUUAAAUAUACAUAGGUUUCAAGGAUAUAAUUCUGUGGUUUUCGCUUUUGAAGUUUUGUUUUCUUGCCACGCUAAAUUAAUGAGGAAUUAGUUUUAAUGGAGUAUUAAUCAUGCAUUAUUAUUUAAAUAUUACGAACGCUAACGGCUAAAUGCACCAAUAAUGCCAACUGGUCACCUUCACUCAUAGUCAUUGGGACUUUUAAAAAUAUAACUCUAGAAUUAUUUCCCAUGCCCCAUGCCAUGAAAGCAGCACUACAUAAUAAUGUGGAUGAUAUAUGUUUGCUGGUAAAAUAACUGGUGGGUGGGCGAUACCCAAACAUAUGGACUUGAACGAAAAAGAACAAAUGUAUGCUAAUAUUAGCUUUUUAAUUGCUAUCGAUUACUUUUAUUACGGACUAUUAGGUAUAAGUUAUGUUUAUGAAUUAGAACUAAAACUCUAAUAGUACAUAACCAAAUUACAAAAAAAAAAGCGCAAACCGUUUUACAUACUUUGUAUUUAAUUAGUUUUAUUUAUGGAUUUAAUAUUAGAUUUGAGUUCGUAAAUUGACGAUGUUUUAAAUUAGAAAUCCUUUUAAUUAUUUAAAUUGAAAUGAAUUUUGACUCUUAAGGCCGUUGCUGGAAACUAAAGAGCCGCUUAAACAGUUACCAUAAAUCACUGCAAUAAGAUGCCUUCUGAUUCUAAAUGAUUAAAUAUUUACACGAU